GAGAAGUCAGGCCAGAUUAAGCCAUAGUACGGAAAGAGCUAUGCUGCCUGUGAGCCCCGUCCAAGGACGUAAAAUGAAGU
RNAcentral lists this long non-coding RNA (80 nucleotides) under dengue virus type 1. RNAcentral describes it as "dengue virus type I partial sfRNA1". Lineage: Riboviria; Orthornavirae; Kitrinoviricota; Flasuviricetes; Amarillovirales; Flaviviridae. The record is from RNAcentral.